GACGAACGCUGGCGGCGUGCUUAACACAUGCAAGUCGAACGGAAAGGCCCUGCUUUUGUGGGGUGCUCGAGUGGCGAACGGGUGAGUAACACGUGAGUAACCUGCCCUUGACUUUGGGAUAACUUAAGGAAACUGGGGCUAAUACCGGAUAGGAGCUCCUGCUGCAGGGUGGGGGUGGGAAAGUCUCGGCGGUUGGGGAUGGACUGGCGGCUUAUCAGUUUGUUGGUGGGGUAGUGGCAUACCAAGGAUUUGGCCGAUAGCCGGCAUGGGAGGGUGGCCGGCGACCAUGGGACUGAGGUACGGCCCAGACGCGAACGGGAGGCAGCGGUGGGAAGUAUUGCACAGUGGGAGGGAGCCUGAUGCGGCAGCGCCGGGUGCGUGAUGCCGGCUUGUGGGUUGUGAACCGCAUUCGGCUGUGACGAAGCGUGAGUGACGGUAAUGGGUGAAGAAGCACCGGCUAACUACGUG
Molecule: ribosomal RNA, 468 nt
Filed under: uncultured bacterium
Lineage: Bacteria
Description: partial 16S ribosomal RNA
Rfam family: Bacterial small subunit ribosomal RNA
Source: RNAcentral